RNAcentral lists this unclassified non-coding RNA (269 nucleotides) under Hevea brasiliensis (rubber tree). The record is from RNAcentral. Lineage: Eukaryota; Viridiplantae; Streptophyta; Magnoliopsida; Malpighiales; Euphorbiaceae.
AUGAAGAAGUAUACUGCCAUAGAUAAAUGGAACACCCAGUUGAAAUCCCUCUUUCAAACUGUCAGCAACCGAGUAUAUUGAUGUCUUAUUGGAUGGAUAACCUAAUUGUUGUUUCAUUUACAUCUUCAAGAGUGUCGAGGAAUCUCCCAAGUCUAAUUUUUUGAGUUUAAGUUCUACGCGUUGUCUGUUUAAAGCACAAUGUGAAUGACACUGUAAAAUGUUGUUUGGAAACUCUAUCAGAUGUCCCCAGCUACCUAGAAAGAGCCACA